This 253-nucleotide ribosomal RNA is filed under the name uncultured bacterium. RNAcentral's name for it is "partial 16S ribosomal RNA". It matches the Rfam family "Bacterial small subunit ribosomal RNA", at positions 524 to 776 of the family's 1533-position model. The record is from RNAcentral.
GACGAACCGUGCGAACGUUGUUCGGAAUCACUGGGCUUAAAGGGCGCGUAGGCGGGGGACCAAGUCCGGGGUGAAAUCUUUCGGCCCAACCGAAAAAUGGCCUUGGAUACUGGUUCUCUCGAGGGAGGUAGGGGCAGCUGGAACUUCCGGUGGAGCGGUGAAAUGCGUUGAUAUCGGAAGGAACGCCGGUGGCGAAAGCGAGCUGCUGGACCUCUACUGACGCUGAGGCGCGAAAGCCAGGGGAGCAAACGGG